UCCCGGCUAGCUCAAUUGGUAGAGCAUUCGACUCUUAAUCGAAAGGCUGAGGGUUCGAGCCCCUCGUUGGGAG
Molecule: transfer RNA, 73 nt
Rfam family: tRNA
About the family: Transfer RNA (tRNA) molecules are approximately 80 nucleotides in length. Their secondary structure includes four short double-helical elements and three loops (D, anti-codon, and T loops).
Source: Rfam